AAGUUUAAAAAUAGAAAGACAUCAUUUACCGUUAUAAUUGUAUCCCUUUAACCGUUUCCUCAAAUUAAGCCCAUAAUAAUUGCAUACGUCGUUUGGCAUUCUGAAUUCAAAAUUAAUGUCUCCUCAGCCGCCUCUGUAAAGCUAUACGCAGAAGUCCCAUCACAUCAUCCUCUUUGCGAGCAAAAACUCCCAUCUCCAGAAAUAGGGCAAAAGUUCACAAUGUUUUGCCAAGUUCUUUCUAUCGGAAGUGUGUCAGUUUUUAUGGAAUAUUUUUUAUAUUCGCACUGAAGCCCAGUUAUAUAUGGACUCAUACAUAAUAAGGCUCCAUUGGUACGGAAGUACUCUACCAAAGAUUUGAACCAAGACCUCUGUUUACAAGGAAAGCAAUCCCGUCCACAACAUCGCAUCUUGCUUAUAAGUUUUUGCAGUGAGUAUAUGUAAAUAUAUGUGUAUAGUCAUUUUUCCUUUUACAAAAUACAUAGUAAUAUUUUAGUACAAGGAUUGUAGUUUAUUACUAAAUUGAUAUUGUAAUGUCAAAUUUGGAACUAAUGAAGCCAAAGUUUAUAUCAACUCCGUCUAACAGAGUAUCUUUGAGAAGAAAAAGUUAAAUCACGUGAAGCACAAGAUUGUUGAUGCUGAGCACUAGGAAGAGAUAACUUCUUGAUUUGAUUGAUGAUAUAGAUUUUAUACAAAGAGAACUAAGGUUGAGCAUGCUCAGUUGCCCAUGGAUGAAAUAAGGAUGCUUCUGGAAGUGGUCAAAUAUCAGCAAUAGUAUCGCAAUGUAACAGGAAAGGAGAAAAAGAACGACGACAAGUUUCAAAAGACUACCAUUAACCCUUUGAAUCUUCACAAGAACAUAGUUGGGAUGGUGAAAAUCAUAAUUCAUAAUCCUCGGGGAAGAAAUUUGCUUCACCUGAGAAAGAGCAAACAAACGGAUUGAACUCUUUUUUAGGUGAACUCAAUUUUGUUUGUCCUAAAUUAGAUGUUUGCUAUUUUAUUUUUGACAGAGAAAUAAUUUAUCUUAUUGUUACUAGCUUCAAAUGUAAUCUUUGAGAGUAGUUCCUCUUCAUGUUCUGGAGUGGGCGUAUUUGUGUAUUAAUCUAUAUCUAUAACAAAAAAGGUGAUGUAGUA
Molecule: long non-coding RNA, 1131 nt
Organism: Solanum lycopersicum (tomato)
Lineage: Eukaryota; Viridiplantae; Streptophyta; Magnoliopsida; Solanales; Solanaceae
Source: RefSeq, a predicted model, not a curated record